AUUGAACGCUGGCGGCAUGCUUUACACAUGCAAGUCGAACGGUAACAGGUUAAGCUGACGAGUGGCGAACGGGUGAGUAAUGCAUCGGAACGUGCCCGGUCGUGGGGGAUAACGCAGCGAAAGCUGCGCUAAUACCGCAUACGAUCUGAGGAUGAAAGCGGGGGACCGUAAGGCCUCGCGCGAUCGGAGCGGCCGAUGUCAGAUUAGGCAGUUGGUGGGGUAAAGGCUCACCAAGCCAACGAUCUGUAGCUGGUCUGAGAGGACGACCAGCCACACGUGGACUGAGACACGGACCAGACUCCGACGGGAGGCAGCAGUGGGGAAUUUUGGACAAUGGGCGAAAGCCUGAUUCAGCAAUGCCGCGGGCAGGAAGAAGGCCUUCGGGUUGUAAACUGCUUUUGUACGGAGCGAAAAGGUCUCCUCUAAUACAGGGGGCUCAUGACGGUACCGUAAGAAUAAGCACCGGCUAACUACGUGCCAGCCGCCGCCGUAA
Molecule: ribosomal RNA, 493 nt
Filed under: uncultured bacterium
Lineage: Bacteria
Description: partial 16S ribosomal RNA
Rfam family: Bacterial small subunit ribosomal RNA
Source: RNAcentral